CUGAUGCAAACCUGGUCAAAUAAAAGCAAACAUUUGACAAAGUGAUUGAAUUCAACGAAGAAUUCAAGCGGACGUCAAACGAAUGACUGAUGCAAACCAGGUCAAAUAAAAGCAAACAUUUGACAAAGUGAUUGAAUUCAACGAAGAAUUCAAGCGGACGUCAAACGAAUGACUGAUGCAAACCAGGUCAAAUAAAAGCAAACAUUUGACAAAGUGAUUGAAUUCAACGAAGAAUUCAAGCGGACGUCAAACGAAUGACUGAUCCAAACCAGGUCAAAUAAAAGCAAACAUUUGACAAAGUGAUUGAAUUCAACGAAGAAUUCAAGCGGACGUCAAACGAAUGACUGAUGCAAACCAGGUCAAAUAAAAGCAAACAUUUGACAAAGUGAUUGAAUUCAACGAAGAAUUCAAGCGGACGUCAAACGAAUGACUGAUCCAAACCAGGUCAAAUAAAAGCAAACAUUUGACAAAGUGAAUGAAUUCAACGAAGAAUUCAAGCGGACGUCAAACGAAUGACUGAUGCAAACCAGGUCAAAUAAAAGCAAACAUUUGACAAAGUGAUUGAAUUCAACGAAGAAUUCA
RNAcentral lists this long non-coding RNA (582 nucleotides) under Diabrotica virgifera virgifera (western corn rootworm). Its description in RNAcentral is "uncharacterized LOC126883539". The record is from RNAcentral. Lineage: Eukaryota; Metazoa; Arthropoda; Insecta; Coleoptera; Chrysomelidae.